Molecule: long non-coding RNA, 384 nt
Organism: Alligator sinensis (Chinese alligator)
Lineage: Eukaryota; Metazoa; Chordata; Crocodylia; Alligatoridae
Exons: 2
Source: RefSeq, a predicted model, not a curated record
GCGGCUGUGGGAAGCGGCCCCGCACCACGUGCUCGCCUUGCGCAUGCGUAUCCCGCGGGGCCGGGCCCUCGGCGUCCUGACAGCCCUCCACCCCCCUCCUAUAGGUAGAGAUGCGUGUGCACACAUGCCAUAGCUGUCCUGACUGGGAUGGAAGUCGACAAUUGAAUGAACAUAAACAGACUCCUGCUCCCUUUUUAUCUAAAUAUAUUUGAAGAAAUGAGGUUUUAUACAAUACAAAUAUCUUCACACACUUCUUCACUUGAAAAAGAAGGCAUCUGUGGUAUAAUACAGUCUCGCUUGCCCAAACUGACAUCUCCAAAAAUGAUCUUCAUGCAUAUUAAAAUAACCUCUGUAUGGCUAUGAUGAGUUAAAUUGGUACUGUGA